GACGAACGCUGGCGGCGUGCCUAACACAUGCAAGUCGAGCGGAGUCGAUCGACGGAAGCCUUCGGGCGGAAGAUGGUUGACUUAGCGGCGGAUGGGUGAGUAACGCGUGGGCAACCUGCCUCGAAGACCGGGAUAACAGCCCGAAAGGGCUGCUAAUACCGGAUGUGGUCAAGGAUCCGCAUGGAUUUUUGAUUAAAGGGGAAACCCGUUUCGAGAUGGGCCCGCGUCCUAUCAGCUAGUUGGUGAGGUAAAAGCUCACCAAGGCGACGACGGGUAGCCGGCCUGAGAGGGUGACCGGCCACACUGGAACUGAGACACGGUCCAGACUCCUACGGGGGGCAGCAGUGGGGAAUCUUCCACAAUGGGCGAAAGCCUGAUGGAGCGACGCCGCGUGAGCGAAGAAGGCCUUCGGUUGUAAGCUCUGUCUGGAGGGACGAAGGAAGUGACGGUACCUCCGGAGGAGCCACGGCUAACUACGUGCCAGCAGCCGCGGUAAAGUACUACUAU
Molecule: ribosomal RNA, 507 nt
Filed under: uncultured bacterium
Lineage: Bacteria
Description: bacterial SSU rRNA
Rfam family: Bacterial small subunit ribosomal RNA
Source: RNAcentral